RNAcentral lists this long non-coding RNA (337 nucleotides) under Ananas comosus (pineapple). RNAcentral describes it as "long non-coding RNA (ACOM_LNC018105)". The record is from RNAcentral. Lineage: Eukaryota; Viridiplantae; Streptophyta; Magnoliopsida; Poales; Bromeliaceae.
GAGAUUAACGAAAGCAGAAGGAGAAACAAGAUCCUAAGUAACAUUAAUCAGUAAGGCAUCAAAUUCUUCAACUAUGGUAACACGUCAACCUGCAUCCUGCAAAGCCUCAUAAAAAUAGGUAGGCUCAGUAGGAAGAGUAGAAUGGGCAGAAGCGAGUAAGAAAGUAGACCUUAUAGAAUCUUUAGUCAUGGAGCGAGUGAGCAUAGAAUAUAUGGGUUUGGGCAGGCAGUGGAGCCAUAUAAGAUGAAAGAGAGGAGACAGUAGCAGGCUGAGUAGUUAGAUGAUAAGAGGUGGAAGAUGGCACAUCAGUAGCGGAUGAAGGUGGUGUUAGAUGUAU